GAUGAACGCUGGCGGCGUGCCUAAUACAUGCAAGUCGAGCGAACGGACGAGAAGCUUGCUUCUCUGAUGUUAGCGGCGGAUGGGUGAGUAACACGUGGAUAACCUACCUAUAAGACUGGGAUAACUUCGGGAAACCGGAGCUAAUACCGGAUAAUAUUUUGAACCGCAUGGUUCAAAAGUGAAAGACGGUCUUGCUGUCACUUAUAGAUGGAUCCGCGCUGCAUUAGCUAGUUGAUAAGGUAACGGCUUACCAAGGCAACGAUGCAUAGCCGACCUGAGAGGGUGAUCGGCCACACUGGAACUGAGACACGGUCCAGACUCCUACGGGAGGCAGCAGUAGGGAAUCUUCCGCAAUGGGCGAAAGCCUGACGGAGCAACGCCGCGUGAGUGAUGAAGGUCUUCGGAUCGUAAAACUCUGUUAUUAGGGAAGAACAUAUGUGUAAGUAACUGUGCACAUCUUGACGGUACCUAAUCAGAAAGCCACGGCUAACUACGUG
Molecule: ribosomal RNA, 497 nt
Filed under: uncultured bacterium
Lineage: Bacteria
Description: partial 16S ribosomal RNA
Rfam family: Bacterial small subunit ribosomal RNA
Source: RNAcentral